RNAcentral lists this long non-coding RNA (307 nucleotides) under Elaeis guineensis (African oil palm). RNAcentral's name for it is "long non-coding RNA (EGUI_LNC039536)". The record is from RNAcentral. Lineage: Eukaryota; Viridiplantae; Streptophyta; Magnoliopsida; Arecales; Arecaceae.
UAAGCAUGUUAGGAAUAGGAGGAGGACCUCGUCCUAACACGAGCAAAGUCGAUGGCCCGGUUAUUUAAAGAUCAGAUGGGGGGAGAGGCCCUUACAACGGCCCUUAUGUACCCCCACAGCCAUGUUAGGAACAGGAGGAGAACCUCGUCCUAACAUGAGCAAAGUCGAAGGCCUGGUUAUUUAAAGACCGGAUGGGGGGAGAGGCCCUUAUGUGCCCCCACAGUCAUGUUAAGAAUAGGAGGAGAACCUCAUCCUAACAUGAGCAAAGUCGAAGGUCUGGUUACUUAAAGACUAGAUGGGGGAGAGG